UGGGGAAUAUUGGGCAAUGGGCGAAAGCCUGACCCAGCAACGCCGCGUGGAGGAAGAAGGUUUUCGGAUCGUAAACUCCUGUCCUCAGGGAAGAGAAAGAGACGGUACCUGAGGAGGAAGCCCCGGCUAACUACGUGCCAGCAGCCGCGGUAAUACGUAGGGGGCAAGCGUUGUCCGGAAUGAUUGGGCGUAAAGGGCGCGUAGGCGGCUUGGUAAGUCUGGAGUGAAAGUCCUGGCUUCAAGUUGGGAAUUGCUUUGGAUACUGUCGGGCUUGAGUGCAGGAGAGGUUAGUGGAAUUCCCAGUGUAGCGGUGAAAUGCGUAGAGAUUGGGAGGAACACCAGUGGCGAAGGCGACUAACUGGACUGUAACUGACGCUGAGGCGCGAAAGUGUGGGGAGCAAACAGG
RNAcentral lists this ribosomal RNA (406 nucleotides) under uncultured bacterium. Its description in RNAcentral is "bacterial SSU rRNA". It matches the Rfam family "Bacterial small subunit ribosomal RNA", at positions 355 to 776 of the family's 1533-position model. The record is from RNAcentral.